UACUCUCUCCCUUUUAUAGGUCGGCCUAGAUCUCUUGAGUAAUGUUUACUGUAAUUGUAUUCUUAGAAGUACUCGGAUGAGUGGACAAUUAAGUAUGAUUAUAAUUCACGAUUGUGAUCCAUUUAUUUCUCGCAUGUGUGCGAGUACAGGGUGCAAGAUCACGUGACUUUGCGGGGAUGCCUAUUACACGUUACGAUCGGGUUUUGAGUUGUUCGCGUUAGCGGACAACUAAUGUAGAGGGAAUUUUGCAAGUCAGUCUGCUCUUAACUACGCUGGGAACAAUAACCACCGCAUCUGCCUGUUUAUACUCAAUCACUGGUACACUGCCGACAGCCAGUGUGUAGAAAAGAAAUGGAACGCAAAAGAAACGCAAACAAUUGGUCAUUGAAAGUACAGGUCAUUCUUAAUGAACAGUGAUACAGUAGUAACGCCGAAGUCACAGUAUUCGUGACCUUGACAUUCGAGUCCCUGAAGGAGCGGCGGUUGCGACAGAAUUAGCAGACGAUGAAAUGGAUGAGAUGGAAAACACCGCAGACCUCAUAACAGAAGGAGACACUGUGGCCGUCGUUGCGGCGGAUGAAAAUGAUGAUUACUUCUUGUUAAAGGUAACUCGUACUCCAUACACAUUGCGAGCAGAGGGUACAGAUGACUGGGGUAACACUUUCCCGGAAGGAGCACGUGUUGUAGGAGGGUAUCAUUGCAAAUCGACUGAGUCCGCCUUUAAGAUCGUUAAGAGGAAAAAAGCCCUUGUGUAUUCGGUGGCGGUUUGUUACAUUUUGGACGAGAAAGACAAAAACGGAAGUAUUAGCGUAGAUGAGAACCUCCACCGAGACAUUCUGAACAGUUUGAACAUUUUAGAUGUUUGAUAAUAACAAUAGUUUUAAGACAGAAAAGAACGGAAAUUUGAUUCAUUAAUGAUAAGUAUUUACGAGUUGUUCGUCAUCGCAUGCAAAGCGAUUGGAAGCUUAUACCAUACUAUUUAACUACACUUAUAACUACUAAAAUUUGUAAUUAAUAAAUAACUUAAUCUCCACACAUCCAUUGUCACCAUCGAUUAACAAUGUAUACUUUUUGUUGCGGGAGUUAUUAUUAUACAUGCUUGGUGAGUUGAUAUAUAUCUGCUGUUUCUUGUGUUUAUAUGUGCAGAUGUGAAAUUUCAAAUUAUGUAACUGUCUAGAACUUUGUCGGUCCGUGUAAUGUACAUGUAUUAGUAAGUUGUGUGCAUUAUUUAUAUUAUGUUAUGUCAUGUCUUUCUUAUAAUUAUGUUGAUGUAAAUAAGCAACUUAAUGCUGUAUCAGUAUGUAGCCUCGUGUAGUUCUUCACAGAACAGACAUUCUUUUCAUAACACUUUUAUAUGAUACUUUU
This is a long non-coding RNA of Dreissena polymorpha, 1365 nucleotides long. RefSeq lists it as uncharacterized. The transcript is spliced from 5 exons. The record is from RefSeq and is a predicted model, not a curated record. Lineage: Eukaryota; Metazoa; Mollusca; Bivalvia; Myida; Dreissenidae.